RNAcentral lists this long non-coding RNA (453 nucleotides) under Hordeum vulgare. RNAcentral describes it as "long non-coding RNA (HVUL_LNC016005)". Lineage: Eukaryota; Viridiplantae; Streptophyta; Magnoliopsida; Poales; Poaceae. The record is from RNAcentral.
CCUUGUGUGUAUCCAACGUCACAACGUAACUGGGUGACUAUAAAGGUGCUCUACAGGUAUCUCCGAAGGUGUCUGUUGGGUUGGCGUGAAUCGAGACUAAGAUUUUUCACUCCGUAUGACGGAGAGUUAUCUCUAGGGCCCACUCGGCAAUACAACAUCAAAAUGAGCUUGCAAGCAAUGUGACCAAGGAGUUAGUCAUGGGAUCUUGUAUUACAGAAUGAGUAAAGAGACUUUCCGGUAACGUGAUUGAGCUAGGUAUGGAGAUACCAACGAUCGAAUCUCGGGCAAGUAACAUACCAAUGGACAAAGGGAACAGUAUACGGGAUUGAUUAAAUCCUUGACAUCGUGGUUCAACCGAUAAAGAUCUUCGUAGAAUAUGUAGGAGCCAAUAUGGGCAUCCAUGUCCCGCUAUUGGUUAUUGACCGGAGAGUGUCUCGGUCAUGUCUACAUAGC